This 2346-nucleotide ribosomal RNA is filed under the name Parapetrolisthes tortugensis. Its description in RNAcentral is "eukaryotic LSU rRNA". It matches the Rfam family "Eukaryotic large subunit ribosomal RNA", at positions 351 to 1635 of the family's 3401-position model. The record is from RNAcentral. Lineage: Eukaryota; Metazoa; Arthropoda; Malacostraca; Decapoda; Porcellanidae.
CCUUACUGCAGGGAAAGUUGAAAAGAACUUUGAAGAGAGAGUUCAAGAGGUUGUGAAACUGUCAUGAGCCUAAACGGGUAGAACCUAGAAGAUCGAAAAGGGUGGAUACUCCUGUCCCUUACCCAUUGCGGCAGGGGAUUGAAGGGUCGAGGGUGGCCUGUUCCUCCGACUCGCCUCUCACUGGUUGGAAGGGCCGCCAGGACGAUUUCGGUCGGGUCUGGAAGGUGCAUCGUCCCAGUUGACGCGAGAGGGGGCCCCUGCUGUAUCCAUGGGUGUUCCUCUGUACACGCCUCGUCUUUGGAACGUGUUUUGGGAAGCUCUCCUACCCCUUAAGUAGAUCACUGCAACCAGUUUGGGGGAGGCGAAUUCCCUUCGGGGGAUAGGGCCCGAUUGGAUCGGUAGCCAGUUGAGAAGCCCGCCGUCCUUGGACGACGGUGUGGACGACGUGGUGAAGCCAUCGGUGUUGAUAACGUCCUUCGCUAAAAGAGAGCGUCGGAUGGAUCCCGGUCGCCCCCGGACUGUUGUUGUAUGGGACGCAUGAUGUGGGUCCUCCUUCUAUUCUGUAGAGGGUGUAGGAACCUCUGUGUCUUGCAGUGUUAUAAUUGUCAGUGGUCUACCCGACCCGUCUUGAAACACGGACCAAGGAGUCUAGCAUGUGUGCGAGUCAUUGGGCUUUUACGAAACCCAAAGGCGUAAUGAGAGUGACAUUUGGCUGAUCCCUAGGGCGGUUCUCGCCAGCGGGGCGGUAGGUUUACGGCUGCUUACAUUCUCAUCGUAGUCUUCGGAUUCUGCUUUUGUACUCGGGCUGUUUCCUACGUGGGGAGGCUGAUGAGUUAAUUUCUCCGUCAUCCCCCAGCCGCACCACGCUGACCGAGGCCGUCUGCACUCCGCACAAGGAGGGGGCGCAAGCCAGGGACUUGUCAACAUGACUUAAGCGGUGCAGUACUGCUCUGCUGCCUCUUCUCCGCCCUUCUUCCACCUCCACCUCAGCCUGUAAAAGGGCUGUUGUUGUUGCUGUGGUGUUGGGCGUCGAGGAUCGAGUUGUUAAUGCGGGCUGCUGUUUUCCACCGUGGUAGUCGACAAGUACCAUGAGCACACACGCUAGGACCCGAAAGAUGGUGAACUAUGCCUGGCCAGGAUGAAGCCAGAGGAAACUCUGGUGGAGGUCCGAAGCGGUUCUGACGUGCAAAUCGAUCGCCAGAGCUGGGUAUAGGGGCGAAAGACCAAUCGAACCAUCUAGUAGCUGGUUCCCCCCGAAGUUUCCCUCAGGAUAGCUGGUAUUCAUCAAUGAGUUUCAUCCUGUAAAGAGAAUGAUUGGAGGUCUUGGGGGUGCAAUGCCCUCAACCUACUCUCAAACUUUAAAUGGGUGAGAUGCUGAGCUUUCUUAAUUGAAGCCUCGGCGAUAAAUCAGAGUACCAAGUGGGCCAAUUUUGGUAAKCAGAASURSCAAGUGGGCCAAUUUUGGUAAGCAGAACUGGCGAUGUGGGAUGCACCAAAAGUCCGAGUUAAGGGGCCAAAACGAAUGCUAAGUGGGAACACAAAAGGUGUCGGUUGCUAUAGACAGCAGGACGGUGGCCAUGGAAGUCGGCAUCCGCUAAGGAGUGUGUAACAACUCACCUGCCGAAGCAACCGGCCCUGAAAAUGGAUGGCACUAAAGCAUUCUCCCGAUACUCGACCGCCAGUAAACGUAAAGUGGCACUACAACGGGAUGYGAUACUACGCAAGUAGGUCCCCCGUUCGAGGCCCUGGCGGGUAGGGGGGCGUGGCGGUUAGCGAAGAAGGGUAAAGCGUGAGCUUGCCUGGAGCAGCCGCUAGUGCAGAUCUUGGUGGAAGUAGCAAAACGUCUGGUGGGCUGCACAAAUGAUCCCAGAGGACCACAGUGGAGGAAGGGUUCCAUGUCAACAUCAAUUGGACAUGGGUUAGUCGGUCCUAAACCCAAACCUAACCGGUUUAUAUUACAUGAUGGCGUGUGUGGACGCAGGCUCAUGAUGGGCAAUUGUUUUUCGUGCGGUGACGUCCGUUUCCAUCUAUACAUGGACUGAUGCACCUUUGCCCCGACCUCCUCCCUCCCUCCCUCUUUCUUCGUUGGCGGCUGAAUCCUCAGCCAAAGACGUCGAUCGAUCGAUCGAUCGAGGAUGGUCAGUCAGCGGGUCGCUGUCGCAGUUUAAUUAAGAUGGAAGAGACGGCGGCGACCCACUAAAUGCUGAUAGGGACAGUCUGGCUCUGUCCCUACCGUAGUCCACAUGCAGUCUUCGACUGGCGUGGUUCUAGACCCUGAAGCGACCUCGGAGAACCGUACUGAUAUUCUUCGGACGGGAGGAAGAGGGCCGUGGACGGGGAUGGUCC